CGACACCUAAGUUUUCUGGAAAGGAAUGCCACAGAGGGUGAUAGCCCCGUACGGUGUUGACUCGAUACAGAGUCCUAACAUGGAGUCGAGUUGUUUGGGAAUGCAGCUCAAAUGGGUGGUAUGCUCCAUCUAAGGCUAAAUAUUUGCGAGAGACCGAUAGCGAACAAGUACUGUGAAGGAAAGAUGAAAAGAACUUUGAAAAGAGAGUGAAAUAGUACGUGAAAUUGUUGAAAUGGAAGGGUAGGCCGCUAACCAUGUAGGACCGUGUUUGGGGGGAAGAUAAAUGCUGUAGAAUGUGGCUCCUCGGAGUGUUAUAGCUACAG
Molecule: ribosomal RNA, 323 nt
Filed under: uncultured Wickerhamiella
Lineage: Eukaryota; Fungi; Ascomycota; Dipodascomycetes; Dipodascales; Trichomonascaceae
Description: eukaryotic LSU rRNA
Rfam family: Eukaryotic large subunit ribosomal RNA
Source: RNAcentral